UACGUAGGGGGCGAGCGUUGUCCGGAGUUACUGGGCGUAAAGCGCACGCAGGCGGUCUGUGAAGUUUGGAGUGACAGUUGGUGGCUCAACCACCAAAGUGCUUUGAAAAACUGACAGACUUGAGGGCUUCAGAGGGACACGGAAUUCCGGGUGGAGUGGUGAAAUGCGUAGAGAUCCGGAGGAACACCAAAGGCGAAGGCAGUGUCCUGGGGAGUACCUGACGCUCAGGUGCGAAAGCCAGGGGAGCGAACGGG
Molecule: ribosomal RNA, 254 nt
Filed under: uncultured bacterium
Lineage: Bacteria
Description: partial 16S ribosomal RNA
Rfam family: Bacterial small subunit ribosomal RNA
Source: RNAcentral